UGUUAAAAAUUCUAUCCAUUUGUACUAUUAAAAACUGAUGUAAUUGAUAGAAUAACUCGACAACGGCACCCACGUAUACCUCAUGUUGACGUACAAUAACCAAUUUUUAACAAUAGAAAUAGAUGAACUUUUUAACA
Non-coding RNA from Gossypium raimondii (Peruvian cotton), 137 nucleotides. Lineage: Eukaryota; Viridiplantae; Streptophyta; Magnoliopsida; Malvales; Malvaceae. The record is from Rfam.